CUCCAAGAUUCAUCUGAAGGUGUGAUCACAGCAUUAAUGUUGAGUGGACCACGAGCCCGUGCCAGAAGCAGCGUCCCAAGCUGGACCGAGGCAUCCCAGUACCCACUCCAAAGCAAAGGAGAAGGAAAAGAGAGAAACUAUUGUUAUCAUGGGUCUUGGUUGGCUUUCCUUUUGACUCCCACUGAAGUUGCUACUUAUUGCAGCCUUGCAAUUCCUGGACUUGAAAAGACCCAGUGGGGCUCCAGAGGAGUGCAGGGUGAGGAUUCUCGUGGAGACAGAUCUCAACCUCCUGCCGUCCCUUCUCAGAUUCAGCAUAUUGUUGCUUUUGUCCUGGCACUGAGUCGUGUCCGACUCUUUGUGACCCCGUGGACUGCAGCAUACAGGCCUCCCUGUCCUUCACUGUUGCCUGGAGUCCACUCAGAUUCACGUCCACUGAGCUGGUGACACCAUCCAGCAUCUCAUCCUCUGUCACCCACUUUUCCUGCUCUUAGUCUUUCCCACCAUCAGGGGCGUUUCCAGUGAUUCGACUCUUCACGUCAGGCGGCCAAAGUACAGGAGCUUCAGCUUCAGCACCAAUCCUUCCAAUGAAUAUUCAGGGUUGAUUUCCUUUGGGAUUGACUGGUUUGAUCUGCUUGCAGUCCAAGGGACUCUCCAAAGUCUUCUCAGCACCACAACUGGAAAGCAUCAAAAUUCUUCAGCAUUCAGCCUUCU
RNAcentral lists this long non-coding RNA (711 nucleotides) under Capra hircus (goat). RNAcentral describes it as "lncRNA (ENSCHIG00000007549.1)". Lineage: Eukaryota; Metazoa; Chordata; Mammalia; Artiodactyla; Bovidae. The record is from RNAcentral.